ACGCUGGCGGCGUGCUUAACACAUGCAAGUCGAACGCUGAAGCCCAGCUUGCUGGGUGGAUGAGUGGCGAACGGGUGAGUAACACGUGAGUAACCUGCCCUCUUCUUUGGGAUAACGCCCGGAAACGGGUGCUAAUACUGGAUAUUCACUGGCCUUCGCAUGGGGGUUGGUGGAAAGGUUUUUUCUGGUGGGGGAUGGGCUCGCGGCCUAUCAGCUUGUUGGUGGGGUGAUGGCCUACCAAGGCUUUGACGGGUAGCCGGCCUGAGAGGGUGACCGGUCACAUUGGGACUGAGAUACGGCCCAGACUCCUACGGGAGGCAGCAGUGGGGAAUAUUGCACAAUGGGCGAAAGCCUGAUGCAGCGACGCCGCGUGAGGGAUGGAGGCCUUCGGGUUGUAAACCUCUUUCGCUCAUGGUCAAGCCGCAACUGUGGGUUGUGGUGGGGGUAGUGGGUAAAGAAGCGCCGGCUAACUACGUGCCAGCAGCCGCGGUAAUACGUAGGGCGCGAGCGUUGUCCGGAAUUAUUGGGCGUAAAGGGCUUGUAGGCGGUUGGUCGCGUCUGCCGUGAAAUCCUCUGGCUUAACUGGGGGCGUGCGGUGGGUACGGGCUGACUUGAGUGCGGUAGGGGAGACUGGAACUCCUGGUGUAGCGGUGGAAUGCGCAGAUAUCAGGAAGAACACCGGUGGCGAAGGCGGGUCUCUGGGCCGUUACUGACGCUGAGGAGCGAAAGCGUGGGGAGCGAACAGGAUUAGAUACCCUGGUAGUCCACGCUGUAAACGUUGGGCACUAGGUGUGGGGGCCACCCGUGGUUUCUGCGCCGUAGCUAACGCUUUAAGUGCCCCGCCUGGGGAGUACGGCCGCAAGGCUAAAACUCAAAGGAAUUGACGGGGGCCCGCACAAGC
Molecule: ribosomal RNA, 901 nt
Filed under: uncultured bacterium
Lineage: Bacteria
Description: bacterial SSU rRNA
Rfam family: Bacterial small subunit ribosomal RNA
Source: RNAcentral